UAAGAUGGUGACUGCUCUUUGUCUAGAGAAUAUUGCAUUCUUCUUUAUAAUUUGAACAGCCAGUGACUUGUGGCAGAUCCACUGAGAUGCCUCAUCAUUUGGACUAGAUUGAUUGGAUCAAGACGAAAAAGUAUGUGGAAAACAAUGUCUGCUCGACUUUGUUUCAUCUUUUCAAUGGGAACUUUCUCCUGCUAUAAAGCAUGCCAUUGAUCUUGUCAUUGCUUCACUAGAUAUGACAUUAAUUAUCCAUCUCUAAAUGUAGUACUUACACAAGCCAGCCAAAAUAGCUGUCCUAUUUUGUUGCACCACUUUUUCUGAAAGACAUUGUCGCACCCCUUGUUUGUGCAUCCAGUGUUAUAUAGAAAUUUACAGCUACAAUGAGGCACUGUGUUCGUCAGCCUAUGGAUGCAAUCUUUUUCUUAUCCAAAUUUUGGUAUAGCCAAAAGAUUCUACAUGGCCAUUAAUCCUGAAAAUACACACAUUGAAGAUACAUAUAGUAAUAAACAUGAACUAAAUGUUUGAUGUAUCUUGAUCAUUUCCUCUUGUUCCACAGUUAUUUUUCGAUUGGGUGGGCAAAUAAAUUCUGUUUCUUAAUUCAUGUGCCUAGUUUUUAAGCGGUAUGCAUGAGAGUUUGUUUGCAUCGUGCAUGCAAUUGCUAAGCAAUUUGUGCUUGAGAAAUAAUCUAGUAACAUUGAAUAUCUUUUGGUAUGAUAAUCUUAUUGUUUUCUUUUCCAGAGAAAACAAGAUAGACUGAAGAAAAUCGAAGAGAAAAAGGUGUAUUUACAACUGCAUGAAGCUAUGGAAGCUCUGGUUCACAUUUGCAGAGACGGGUGUCGAACAAUUGGGCCUCGUGACAAGAUGCUUAAAGCAAGCCAGGCAGAAUGUAGUUUCCCAGCAUGCAAGGGUCUGGAGACUCUGGUCCGUCAUUUCUCAAGUUGCAAAAUUAGAGUUCCUGGUGGAUGUGUCCAUUGCAAGCGAAUGUGGCAGCUUCUUGAACUUCAUUCACGCAUUUGUGAUGAACCUGACUAUUGCAAAGUUCCUCUUUGUAGGUAAGUAAAUAAUUUUUCGGGUGAUAUUUUGUUAGUGGGUGUCGAACAAUUGGGCCUCGUGACAAGGUGCUUAAAGCAAGCCAGGCGGCAUGUAGUUUCCCAGCAUGCAAGGGGCUGGAGACUCUGGUCCGUCAUUUCUCAAGUUGCAAAGUUAGAGUUCCUGGUGGAUGUGUCCAUUGCAAGCGAAUGUGGCAGCUUCUUGAGCUUCAUUCACGCAUUUGCGACGAACCUGACUAUUGCAAAGUUCCCCUUUGUAGGUAAGUAAAAUAAUUUUUCUGGUGAUAUUCUGUUAGCAGAAGAGCACUUAUGCAGAUGUUUAUUCAAGAAAGAAUUAAAAUACAUAUAAAGAGGCUUGCGAAACGGUAGAUUAUGACAUAUCAGUAAUCAGCUGUUGACAGAAACUGCUAGAACUGUUUUUUAAGGUUCGAUGCCUUAGUUUGACUUAAGCGGACCGACAUUUCAAACUAUUGUUAUACAACUAGAACUCUACCUCUAAAGCAUCUAGAUGAAGUCGGGUGAUGAAAGUCGAUAAGACAUCCAUUUCUUGCAGUAGUAGUGCUUCUCAGUUUUAGAAGAAAAACACCAGUUAAAGGGUGAUCCCUACUUUCUAUCGUUUGUAUCGGUCACUCAAUAUUUGGACAGAU
Molecule: long non-coding RNA, 1693 nt
Filed under: Nicotiana benthamiana
Lineage: Eukaryota; Viridiplantae; Streptophyta; Magnoliopsida; Solanales; Solanaceae
Description: long non-coding RNA (NBEN_LNC040998)
Source: RNAcentral